CUCUCUCAUUCAUAAAAGCUUUAUUGGCAUGAGAAAUAAACAAUUUACAUUGCCCAAGCAGGUGAUCAAUAAAGAGAAUAUGGUAUAAAACGUUAAAUACAAAAUGUAUAUGAAUAUCAGACAUAAUACCAAGUAAUGGUGGGCUAACUUCAGCGUCGGAAUAAAAAGUUACAUCUCGUACGGAGCAAAAAGUCUCUUCUCUUCUGAUCGAUUGCUCUUCUUUUAAUAAAACCUUUUAUAUUGAAUGUUUCCUCGACCAUCGAUCGACCCUCACCAGAGCCCAUCUACAUAGGCUAUAAGACAUUCUGCCCUCACUUCAGCCACCUCUGGUAAGUCCAUUUACGAACGUUGUGUCAUGACGUUGGCCGAAAGUUAAAUAAAUCGAGCUAUAUUAUAUGUCAAAUAUAUACAUAUACCAAUACUUAAAAAUCAAGGCUAUACAUAGCCUAUAGGCCUACGCCUACCAAUACUUUAAAAUCAAGGCUAAACAGACAUUUUUUUAACUAAUCACACAAGUCCCGUUUUUUUAAUCAGAAUUACUAGAUAUCGUGAACCUCAUCGACGUAUAAUAACAUAUAUGCACAAUAUACAUUAUGAAACAGUAAUGUGACCUUAUGUUGAAUCAAUAUAACUUGGUUAUGUGGGGAAUUUACAAUAAUACAAAUGCACCACCAAACAUUUAUUGAGAUGCACCUUUAUAAUACAGGUGCAUUUAGGUGAUUUACGAGGUUUGUGGUUUACGGGGCGGUCUUUAGACGGCAGUUGAAAUGCAAUCCGAUUCAACGCGGAAACGAAACUUAAAACUGCGCCAAAUUGACAUGACGUGGAGGGACUCUUUCUGGAGACAAAGAACAACACCAUAUAAACGAUGUAAUCCAACAAGCUCCAAAGCAUUAUAAGGUCUCCAGUUUACCAUGGAUGAGGAGAGAGAGGAGGGGGGUUCUCCCCCUAAAUCCACUCUGUCUGGGGAACAUGGCCGCCAGAGCAAAGACAAGAGGUAUAACAGGAAGAUCUCUAACUGCCUGUGACUGUUGUCCAUCUCAGAGGUCAGCAGUGAUGUAUCAUGAGACCUUCAUUAAUCAGAGUAAAAGCUGUGUGUGUCUGUUAUGGUGAAGCCCAGAGCAGCAGGAGAGAGCAGACUCCCCUGGACCCAGCUGUGUCUCCAUGAAGAGUGACUGGUCUAUGGAUGCACCUGUUAAGUUUAAAGAUGGAAAUCAGUCUAUUGAGAAAAGGUAAGAAUUGAUCAGCGAUGAUAAAAAAAACAGAGGUGGGGGUAAGUCACUCAUGUGCAAGUCACAAGCAAGUCUCAAGUCAUAAUCUUC
Molecule: long non-coding RNA, 1322 nt
Organism: Gadus morhua (Atlantic cod)
Lineage: Eukaryota; Metazoa; Chordata; Actinopteri; Gadiformes; Gadidae
Exons: 3
Source: RefSeq, a predicted model, not a curated record